This 251-nucleotide long non-coding RNA is filed under the name Monodelphis domestica (gray short-tailed opossum). RNAcentral's name for it is "lncRNA (ENSMODG00000033684.2)". Lineage: Eukaryota; Metazoa; Chordata; Mammalia; Didelphimorphia; Didelphidae. The record is from RNAcentral.
GGGGUAAUCACUCCUUUAUGUGAAACAAAUAGUUCAAGGAACUGUGAAAAUUUGAAAUCAGUGCACAGAAGUACCACUCAGCCGUUUCAUGUGAUGGCACCAUUUAAUAUGCAGUGGAGAAACAGGCUACCGAGAAGAAGCUAAGUUCCUAGACAACUCCAAGAGCAGUUAUCCUGGAUUUGUACUGGCACAGGAAAUUCCUUCUUGGCAGCUCUUUAAUCACAGAUUUGGCCAUUAUUAAUUACUAAUAA